UGUGCUUACUAAAGAACCAGCCCCUUCCC
This 29-nucleotide non-coding RNA is filed under the name Mus musculus (house mouse). Lineage: Eukaryota; Metazoa; Chordata; Mammalia; Rodentia; Muridae. The record is from RNAcentral.